GAAAUGCGAUAAGUAAUGUGAAUUGCAGAAUUUAGUGAAUCAUCGAAUCUUUGAACGCACAUUGCGCCCUUUGGUAUUCCGAAGGGCACACCUGUUCGAGCGCCGUUUAACACCCUAAAGCCUAGCUUUGCGUUGGCGGUGGCCCUUAAGGGGCUCCGCUCAAAUUCAAGGCGCGAUUACGUAAUCGGCAAUGCACACAAGCAUCAGUCCGAUCAUUCGAUUGCUGCCAGUUGAACGACAUUUUGGCCUCGAAUCAGGUGGGGAUACCCGCUGAACUUAA
Molecule: unclassified non-coding RNA, 280 nt
Filed under: uncultured Ascomycota
Lineage: Eukaryota; Fungi; Ascomycota
Description: sequence contains ITS1
Rfam family: 5.8S ribosomal RNA (bases 1-105)
Source: RNAcentral